CCAACGGCUCUUUUAAGAGCCACCUAAAUGUCUCUGAACAGCAGUC
Molecule: non-coding RNA, 46 nt
Organism: Takifugu rubripes (torafugu)
Lineage: Eukaryota; Metazoa; Chordata; Actinopteri; Tetraodontiformes; Tetraodontidae
Source: Rfam